UCCCUGAGGGUUUGAUCCUGGCUCAGGGCGAACGCUAGCGGCGCGCCUAACACAUGCAAGUCGUGCGGGAAAGGGCUUCGGCCCUAGUACCGCGGCAGACGGGUGAGUAACACGUGAGCAACCUGUCCUCGGGUCUGGGAUAACCACCCGAAAGGGUGGCUAAUACCGGAUAAAGUCACCGAACGCAAGUUUGGUGAUGAAAGGGGGCCUCUGCAUAGCAAGCUCCUGCCUGAGGAGGGGCUCGCGGCCCAUCAGCUAGUUGGUGGGGUAACGGCCCACCAAGGCUAUGACGGGUAGCCGGCCUGAGAGGGUGGUCGGCCACACGGGCACUGAGACACGGGCCCGACUCCUACGGGAGGCAGCAGUGGGGAAUCUUGGGCAAUGGGCGAAAGCCUGACCCAGCGACGCCGCGUGGGGGAAGAAGGCCUUCGGGUCGUAAACCCCUGUUCUGGGGGAAGAACCCUGAUUGGGUUAAUAGCCCAAUCAGGCUGACGGUACCUCAGGAGAAAGCCACGGCUAACUGCGUGCCAGCAGCCGCGGUAAUACGCAGGUGGCGAGCGUUGCCCGGAAUUACUGGGCGUAAAGGGUGCGUAGGCGGCUGGACAAGUCGCAGGUUAAAGCCCGGGGCUCAACCCCGGAAAGGCCUGCGAUACUGUCUGGCUUGAGGGCUGGAGAGGCUGACGGAAUUCCCGGUGUAGGGGUGAAAUCCGUAGAUAUCGGGAGGAACACCGGAGGGGAAGCCGGUCAGCUGGACAGCCCCUGACGCUGAGGCACGAAAGCGUGGGGAGCAAACCGGAUUAGAUACCCGGGUAGUCCACGCCGUAAACGAUGGGUGCUAGGUCUGGGGAGGUAAUCUCUCCGGGCCGAAGCUAACGCGUUAAGCACCCCGCCUGGGGAGUACGGCCGCAAGGCUGAAACUCAAAGGAAUUGACGGGGGCCCGCACAAGCGGUGGAGCACGUGGUUUAAU
This 968-nucleotide ribosomal RNA is filed under the name Caldimicrobium sp. Its description in RNAcentral is "bacterial SSU rRNA". It matches the Rfam family "Bacterial small subunit ribosomal RNA", at positions 1 to 950 of the family's 1533-position model. Lineage: Bacteria; Pseudomonadati; Thermodesulfobacteriota; Thermodesulfobacteria; Thermodesulfobacteriales; Thermodesulfobacteriaceae. The record is from RNAcentral.